This is a long non-coding RNA of Mesocricetus auratus (golden hamster), 280 nucleotides long. RefSeq lists it as uncharacterized. The transcript is spliced from 3 exons. The record is from RefSeq and is a predicted model, not a curated record. NCBI's taxonomy places the organism in Eukaryota, Metazoa, Chordata, Mammalia, Rodentia, Cricetidae.
AGGAGGGCUAGAAUCACAGCAAGUGCAUGUGACUGGGUGACAGCUGCUGAGGCAGAGCCAGCACGUGCCUUGGAACUCCAGUUUCCAAAUGACAACAGGAAGAAUCUCUGCUGUUAUACAAAUGUCCAGAGUGACAUUCUCAGAAGUCAUUGACUAUAUCAUGGCAGGACCAGAAAUGCUGACAAUAGACCAAGUCAAAGAAUUUGGCAAGCAUAGGCUGAAAAGGAUCCACUAUCUCUACCCUAAACAUAAACAGGUACCAUAACCUUGAAAAAGCCUA